RNAcentral lists this unclassified non-coding RNA (232 nucleotides) under fungal sp. RNAcentral's name for it is "partial contains small subunit ribosomal RNA, internal transcribed spacer 1, and 5.8S ribosomal RNA". The stretch from base 1 to 46 matches the Rfam family "Eukaryotic small subunit ribosomal RNA", at positions 1786 to 1831 of the family's 1831-position model. Lineage: Eukaryota; Fungi. RNAcentral also lists the same sequence under 2 other names. The record is from RNAcentral.
AAGUCGUAACAAGGUCUCCGUUGGUGAACCAGCGGAGGGAUCAUUAAAGAGUUGCAAAACUCCCAACCAUUGCUAAACAACCACUGUUUCUUCGGCGGGUGGCCGCAUGGCCGCGCGCACCCCUCUCGGGGGGGACGCACCCCGCCGGAGCACACCAAACUCUUGUCAUUAUUGAUGCUCUGAGUAAAAAACAAAAUUAUUACAACUUUCAACAAUGGAUCUCUUGGCUCUG